AGGGCUGUAGCUCAGAGGUAGAGCGGUGGUCUCCAAAGCCGCGCGUCGCGAGUUCGAUUCUUGCCAGCCCUG
This 72-nucleotide transfer RNA is filed under the name bacterium. RNAcentral describes it as "tRNA-Trp". It matches the Rfam family "tRNA". From Rfam's summary of the family: Transfer RNA (tRNA) molecules are approximately 80 nucleotides in length. Their secondary structure includes four short double-helical elements and three loops (D, anti-codon, and T loops). The record is from RNAcentral. RNAcentral also lists the same sequence under 1 other name.